This 253-nucleotide ribosomal RNA is filed under the name uncultured bacterium. RNAcentral's name for it is "partial 16S ribosomal RNA". It matches the Rfam family "Bacterial small subunit ribosomal RNA", at positions 524 to 776 of the family's 1533-position model. The record is from RNAcentral.
UACGGGGGGAGCAAGCGUUGUUCGGAUUUACUGGGCGUAAAGGGCGCGUAGGCGGCACUGUUAGUCAGGCGUGAAAGUCCUGGGCUCAACCUGGGAACUGCGCUUGAUACGGCAGAGCUAGAGGAUGGAAGAGGGUCGCGGAAUUCCCAGUGUAGAGGUGAAAUUCGUAGAUAUUGGGAAGAACACCGGUGGCGAAGGCGGCGACCUGGUCCAUUACUGACGCUGAGGCGCGACAGCGUGGGGAGCAAACAGG